GGAAGGAUCAUUAUUGAAUACGAAUCGGUUCUGAUGCUGGCCCUUCACCGGGCAUGUGCUCGCUCCGAAUCUAUUUAUCUUCUCUUGUGCACCUCUUGUAGUCUUUGAAACAAAAAGUGAACCUCUCGCAGCAAUGCGGUCUGGGGGACUUGAGCCUAACACGCUCUUCCCCUGCUUGCUUUCUUUUCUUGGCUAUGUUUUCAUAUACACUAUAAAGUUACAGAAUGUCUUUUAAGGAUUGUCGCUCGCGCGCAGUCAUUAAACCUAUACAACUUUCAGCAACGGAUCUCUUGGCUCUCCCAUCGAUGAAGAACGCAGCGAAAUGCGAUAAGUAAUGUGAAUGGCAGAAUUCAGUGAAUCAUCGAAUCUUUGAACGCACCUUGCGCCCUUUGGUAUUCCGAAGGGCAUGCCUGUUUGAGUGUCAUUAAAUUCUCAACCUUGCUCGCCUUUACCGGCUUGAGUGAGGCUUGGACGUGAGGGCUUGCUGGCUUCCUUAAGUGGAUGGUCUGCUCCCUUUAAAUGCAUUAGUGGGAUCUCUUGUGGACCGUCACUUGGUGUGAUAAUUAUCUACGCCUCGUU
This 579-nucleotide ribosomal RNA is filed under the name Mycena graminicola. Its description in RNAcentral is "eukaryotic LSU rRNA". The stretch from base 271 to 424 matches the Rfam family "5.8S ribosomal RNA". Lineage: Eukaryota; Fungi; Basidiomycota; Agaricomycetes; Agaricales; Mycenaceae. The record is from RNAcentral.